Long non-coding RNA from Rosa chinensis, 817 nucleotides. RefSeq lists it as uncharacterized. The record is from RefSeq and is a predicted model, not a curated record. The transcript has 4 exons. NCBI's taxonomy places the organism in Eukaryota, Viridiplantae, Streptophyta, Magnoliopsida, Rosales, Rosaceae.
AAGGCAAGAGGAUUCUGCGGCAGAAAUAAGAAAUUAGAAAGAAAAAAAAAGUAGUCGCACACGAUCUCCAGAUUAGAGGAGAACUGCCCGGGCACGAUCUCAACACUCACUCCUCUUUCAAUUUACAGUUCUUGCAAACGUAGAAAACAAACACAGAAAGAAGAACAUAGCGGAAUCAAACCCAGAAGGAGGAGAAAGAGAAAGAAACAAAUUGGUUGCCAGGGCACAUGAGGCAGCCUAUACACAGAAAGAAGAACAGAGCGGAAUCAAACCCAGAAGGAGGAGAAAGAGAAAGAAACAAAUUGGCUGCCAGUUUGCAGACUUGAUAAUUCCCAUUGGGAGUAAUUGUGAAGUUUGCUGUGAUCCUUGGAUAAUUGAUUUCAAGUGAAGGAAAAUAAUCUCAGUGGUCAACCAAAACAGUCACAUUAUUUGGGUUCUCAUUAUCACAGAGGUACAGCUGGAGGUCCAGACUUGAAAAGUUUUAUUGUCCAAUUUCCUGUGUCCCGAGAAGGUAGUUCAGUUAAAGGAAAAUAAGAUAAAUCUCGCUUAAGGGGGUUUUGUUUUGAGUCUCUCUGUGUUAGAUUGUGUGAUCUUCAUUCAAUAGCAAUGCUAUCAAACUAUUGCUUUAAAGCUGUAGGUCCAGACUUGAAAAGUUUCCUUGUCCAAUUUCCUGUGUCCCGAGAAGGAAGUUUAGUUAAAGGAAAAUAAAGGUAAAUCUUGCUUAAGUGGUGUAAACACGAAAAAUCCUGCAACGAAUGAAAGAAGGACACGUGUACAAAAUAAUAUAUUUUUAUUAAUGAAUUUGCGGGUUACAAUC